RNAcentral lists this ribosomal RNA (774 nucleotides) under uncultured Neocallimastigales. Its description in RNAcentral is "partial large subunit ribosomal RNA". It matches the Rfam family "Eukaryotic large subunit ribosomal RNA", at positions 24 to 616 of the family's 3401-position model. The record is from RNAcentral. Lineage: Eukaryota; Fungi; Neocallimastigomycota; Neocallimastigomycetes; Neocallimastigales.
UAUGUGAUCGUCUCUCGCAUAUCAAUAAGCGGAGGAAAAGAAACUAACAAGGAUUCCCCUAGUAACGGCGAGUGAAGCGGGAAGAGCUCAAAUUUGAAAUCUUAAAGGGUUUCCCUUUACGAAUUGUAGUUUAAAGAAGUGUUUUCUGUUGAGGUUUUGGUAAAAGUUCUUUGGAAUAGGACAUCAUAGAGGGUGAGAAUCCCGUAUUUGACCUUUACUUUCAACUUUGUGAUACACUUUCAAAGAGUCGGAUUGUUUGGGGAUGCAGUUCAAAAUGGGUGGUAAAUUUCAUCUAAAGCUAAAUAUUGGCGAGAGACCGAUAGCGAACAAGUACCGUGAGGGAAAGAUGAAAAGAACUUUGAAAAGAGAGUUAAACAGUACGUGAAAUUGUCAAAAGGGAAGCGUUUGACACCAGUGUUGUUUUUCUGAAAAUCAAUUAAAGAACUGUUUAUGCUAAGCUGUUUAGACUUUAUCAGCUAUCUGUUUAGUUUUGAGCUUUUCUUUAAUGCACUUUUCAGUUAACAAGUCAACAUCAAUUUCUUUUGCUGUAAAAAAGCUUGAGGAAGGUGGCUUGAGAUUCGUCUUAAGUGUUUAUAGCCUCUUGCCUAUGCAGUCGGAGAGAUUGAGGUCUGCAGCGUAGAUCCUUCGGGGCUAAAUGCAUUUGUGCUAAGUUAUAGCAUUUUAUAGACAACUUGUUGACUAUGAUUUGUCUUGUAGCUUACUCGCUUAUGUUAUUUUACCUACGCUUAGGAUGUUGAGCGCAUGUCUCUCUCU